Molecule: ribosomal RNA, 253 nt
Filed under: uncultured bacterium
Lineage: Bacteria
Description: partial 16S ribosomal RNA
Rfam family: Bacterial small subunit ribosomal RNA
Source: RNAcentral
UACGUAGGCAGCAAGCGUUGUUCGGAAUUACUGGGCGUAAAGCGUGCGCAGGCGGUUCUCCAAGUCCGUUGUGAAAGCCCCCGGCUCAACUGGGGAGGGUCAUUCGAUACUGAUCGACUCGAAGGCAGGAGAGGGUAGUGGAAUUCCCGGUGUAGUGGUGAAAUGCGUAGAUAUCGGGAGGAACACCAGUGGCGAAGGCGACUACCUGGCCUGUUCUUGACGCUGAGGCGCGAAAGCUAGGGGAGCAAACGGG